Rhinopithecus roxellana (golden snub-nosed monkey) is the source of this 427-nucleotide long non-coding RNA. RefSeq lists it as uncharacterized. NCBI's taxonomy places the organism in Eukaryota, Metazoa, Chordata, Mammalia, Primates, Cercopithecidae. The transcript has 3 exons. The record is from RefSeq and is a predicted model, not a curated record.
GGCAGGAGUCUCCCCACUGAGGUCCACCUCUCUUUGGAGGCAAGAGGAGUGGCAUUUGUAACUCUGGGUAAGAGUUGAAAUUACUCACAUAGAAGAAGGAGAUGGGACCGGCAUGGAAACUAAUCAUAAUCCCGAAGAUGCAAGUCAGCUGGGACAGCAUGACAUGCAGUGCCACAGCAGCCAGUUGGUCCUGCCAGCUACCAUGCUGUGAAUAUGGAGAAGCCAGAAUGGGGAGGAACUCAGGCCUGCCAACAGCCAUAUGAGUGAGCCUGGAAGCAGAUCCUCCAGCCUCAGUAGAACCUUGAGAUAACUACAGUCUCACAAGAGACCUUGAACCAGAGGCAAGGCUCUAUUGAUUGCAAGAAACAGAAAAUCUACUCAAAUUAGCUGAAGCAAAAUAGGACAUUUAUUAAAAGGGUGCAAAGGG